AGGUGUUUGUUCUGGACUUCCCCCCGCGUCUGAACAAACCCGUGGGCCUGCAGGAUCUGCUGCGUCAGGAGCACCACCGCGUCGCAGCACGCAUGGGUCUCCCAUUCGUGGCUGUGACCAGCAGCUUCCUGCUGGAUCGGUUGGAGCUGUGGUGUUAUGACGGCGUGCACCUCAGCGACACAGGUGGCUCGCCCAUCCUGGUGGAGCUGUUGUGCGACGCUGCGCUCACCCUGUUCGCACCCGAUCCCCCUGCACCUCCUUCCCCUGGUCUGAAGGACUGCCUGGAUCCCCGGACGUGGCCC
This is a non-coding RNA of Nerophis lumbriciformis (worm pipefish), 302 nucleotides long. The record is from RefSeq and is a predicted model, not a curated record. NCBI's taxonomy places the organism in Eukaryota, Metazoa, Chordata, Actinopteri, Syngnathiformes, Syngnathidae.